UUUUUUUAAAAUUCCAAAAUACCCUUUCACAUUGCACCGCACUCAUACCUUGUCCUAUGUUCUUCGUUGAGCUUCCCUGUCGCCGCGUUUCCUCCGCUUGGCAUCCGUCGCUGGUCGUCUGCCGUCACUUAUCGUAACCCUGGUGUGUUCCACUACUCGCAGAAUGCCACGCCGCUCCUCCAUCGCCAUUCCCUUCGCCUCCCUUUCGCUCGCGUUCGUCGUCGCCAUUCCCUUCGCUUAUUCACACGCGUUUGUCAUCGCCGUCCCUUUUGUUGGCAUCCCGUCGCUGCGCCGUCCCCAUUGAAUUUGAUAUUUAUCUUUGAAUUUUGUUUAAUGUUCCCCAUCCAUCUUCUGUUACAAUUGCUCUCGAAAAAGGAUUUUAGCAAGAAAAACAUAGAUAAACUGGGACACGAAGUUUAUGAGCCUUUGGAUGUGAUCUCUUCCCACCUCUGCAUCUAAUCUAUGCUGAGAAUCCUAGUGAUUCUAGGAAGACAUUGGUUCGGUACCAGUUACAGACAUUGCUCUUUCAAAAAUUUUUUCGGCUCAGAAACCGACAGUUAUCAAUGUUAUUGUUGAUCCUUUGUUAUUGUUGAUCCCUAUGCUGGUUCAGAGAAUGAGAGGUUGCAACACAAGAACUAAUUUUUAAAUUAUCUGUAUUACACUAAAAUUACGUUUUUUUAUGGUUUUUGUUUUUAAAUUUCAAAUUUUAAUAACACAAAUUAUAUAGUCUUGUGAUUUUUAUGGAGUACCAUGAUAUGAUAAAGACAAAUUAUAUUCCAUGAAUCCACACAGAUGUAAAAUGUUAUAUGAUCAUAAUGAAUACUUGAAUGAUAGAAGCUGAAUUUUAUAUAUA
Arachis ipaensis is the source of this 853-nucleotide non-coding RNA. The record is from RefSeq and is a predicted model, not a curated record. NCBI's taxonomy places the organism in Eukaryota, Viridiplantae, Streptophyta, Magnoliopsida, Fabales, Fabaceae.